This is a non-coding RNA of Oryza glumipatula, 204 nucleotides long. Lineage: Eukaryota; Viridiplantae; Streptophyta; Magnoliopsida; Poales; Poaceae. The record is from Rfam.
AAUAAAUGUAGUUUUGCACUUCAUGUCCAACAUUUAACCGUUCAUCUUAUAUAUUUUUUUUAUGAUUAGUAUUUUUAUUGUUAUUAGAUGAUAAAACAUGAAUAAUACUUUAUGUGUGACUAUUUUUAUUAGUUUUUUUCAUAAAUUUUUCAAAUAAGAUAGACAGUCAAACAUUGGACACGAAUAACCACGGUUGUACUUAUU